RNAcentral lists this long non-coding RNA (769 nucleotides) under Oryza brachyantha (malo sina). Its description in RNAcentral is "long non-coding RNA (OBRA_LNC000221)". Lineage: Eukaryota; Viridiplantae; Streptophyta; Magnoliopsida; Poales; Poaceae. The record is from RNAcentral.
GGGGGGGCGCAACUAACCGAUCCAGGGGCGCGAUGCCGCCUCCGCGAGCCUCGGACGGCGACCGUGCGGGGUGGCCACGGCGCAGCGAGGGGACACACGGGACCCCUCCGCCUGCCCGCCCGACCCGACCCGAGCGACGGACGAAUCGAAAGCUACGGCGGUGAUGGCCACGGCCCGAGGACGAACGGGACGACGUGCCACGCCACCGCUAAUUAAUCCCUCGUUGCAAACGGCGGAUUGUUUGGAAGGGUAUACCAGUACAACCGACGAACAGGGUGCGAGAUCAAAAACACCUUUCCGCUGGAAGUAAUCUUUGUAGGCGCCCAGACAGUGUUUUACACAGUACUAGUCCGUUUUUUUUUCUUUACUGACUGGUAAGUGUCUUGAGAUCUGCAAUCAUGCCAAAAUCUGUUGGAAAGGAGAGAGCAAGUAAUAAAAGACAAAAGACCAGUAACACCUGAAGUGCUCUCCGCACAAAUAGCGGCAUCAAAAAAGAAGUAUGGGGAUGUCAUGAUUGCAGGGGGGCUUAAAAGGCGGAAUGGCUGUCACACGUUGUUGGUAGGUAAAUUAGACAUCAGAUAUGUACAAAUCUCUAUAAAAAUUAAUGUCUCUUGGCGAAUAUCUAGCUCCACAAAAUUAUACGCAGAGGAUAAUCAAAGCGGAGAAAAAAAAAACAGGAGUCGUCAUUUUCAAAGCAAUUAGGGCAUCCAAAAUGUUAGCAAAAAACGGUUAUUAUAACUAUAUAUAUGGAAAUAAAAUAAGAUAAGAU